Molecule: long non-coding RNA, 852 nt
Filed under: Olea europaea (common olive)
Lineage: Eukaryota; Viridiplantae; Streptophyta; Magnoliopsida; Lamiales; Oleaceae
Description: long non-coding RNA (OEUR_LNC015664)
Source: RNAcentral
GGAUUCGACACAGCUUCUAUGAUGAGUAAUGCCAUUUUUAUUGAAAAAAUCCUUCAUUUGAAAUUCUAGGCCAUUAUCACUUCAAAGGAUCUUAAUCUUAAAACUAAAUUGCGUUUCCACCAGAUUAUAGGAUGCUUCUAAACAAGCUCUAGUGUCAAAUUUUGCUUUAAGAGGAUAGACCCAAGUGCUUCUAGAGAAAUCGUCCACAAUGGUUAGAAAAUACUUGGAUCCAUCAUAAGCUUCUGUAGAACUUGGUUCCCAAAUGUCAAAGUGGAUGAGUUCGAAAUUUUGUUUAGUUUUAUGGGUGCUGAUAGGAAAUGGUAGUCUACGUUGCUUUGCAAGUGGACAUACACAACAAGGAACAUUGCUAGUGCCGGAUAAGUCAUUCUUAACAAUAGGAUCAGAAAUUAAAUUCAACCUUGAGAAAUGUGUAUGGCCAAGCACUGAUGCUCGGACUCGGCUUUUCGACCGGCGUACCCGUGUCGACACAACAUGACACGAGUACGGGUAUGAAAUACGGGACAGACACGGCAAAUUUCCACCGGACACGGCAAGGGAUGGAAAACUGCUGGACUUCACCGCCGCACCAUUGUUGCAAUCUUGCAGAUUCGCGUGAUGCUCGUUAGGGAAGAAGAAGGGAUUCAAUAGUUGGGCCUUUGUUUUUUAAAUUUUGGGCCUUUUUUUUAAUUUUUUGAGCCAUUGUGGUUGAAAACAGGCCGGCUGAUUUAGGGAAUAGUUGAGUUGUAGUUGGGCCUUUUGAGCCCUUUUUAUUUUUUAUUUUUUUUAUUUUUUUAUUCAUUGUGGUUGAAGUAUAUUUACAUCAUUAAAUUGAUCGAGCAAAUUGCAUGAGCU